Molecule: ribosomal RNA, 484 nt
Filed under: uncultured bacterium
Lineage: Bacteria
Description: partial 16S ribosomal RNA
Rfam family: Bacterial small subunit ribosomal RNA
Source: RNAcentral
AUUGAACGCUGGCGGCAGGCCUAACACAUGCAAGUCGAGCGGAUGAAGGGAGCUUGCUCCUGGAUUCAGCGGCGGACGGGUGAGUAAUGCCUAGGAAUCUGCCAGGUAGUGGGGGAUAACGUCCGGAAACGGGCGCUAAUACCGCAUACGUCCUGAGGGAGAGAGUGGGGGAUCUUCGGACCUCACGCUAUCAGAUGAGCCUAGGUCGGAUUAGCUAGUUGGUGGGGUAAAGGCCUACCAAGGCGACGAUCCGUAACUGGUCUGAGAGGAUGAUCAGUCACACUGGAACUGAGACACGGUCCAGACUCCUACGGGAGGCAGCAGUGGGGAAUAUUGGACAAUGGGCGAAAGCCUGAUCCAGCCAUGCCGCGUGUGUGAAGAAGGUCUUCGGAUUGUAAAGCACUUUAAGUUGGGAGGAAGGGCAGUAAGUUAAUACCUUGCUGUUUUGACGUUACCAACAGAAUAAGCACCGGCUAACUUCGUG